AUUGAACGCUGGCGGCAGGCCUAACACAUGCAAGUCGAGCGGAUGAAGGGAGCUUGCUCCUGGAUUCAGCUGCGGACGGGUGAGUAAUGCCUAGGAAUCUGCCUGGUAGUGGGGGAUAACGUCCGGAAACGGGCGCUAAUACCGCAUACGUCCUGAGGGAGAAAGUGGGGGAUCUUCGGACCUCGCGCUAUCAGAUGAGCCUAGGUCGGAUUAGCUAGUUGGUGGGGUAAAGGCCUACCAAGGCGACGAUCCGUAACUGGUCUGAGAGGAUGAUCAGUCACACUGGAACUGAGACACGGUCCAGACUCCUACGGGAGGCAGCAGUGGGGAAUAUUGGACAAUGGGCGAAAGCCUGAUCCAGCCAUGCCGCGUGUGUGAAGAAGGUCUUCGGAUUGUAAAGCACUUUAAGUUGGGAGGAAGGGCAGUAAGUUAAUACCUUGCUGUUUUGACGUUACCAACAGAAUAAGCACCGGCUAACUUCGUG
RNAcentral lists this ribosomal RNA (484 nucleotides) under uncultured bacterium. RNAcentral's name for it is "partial 16S ribosomal RNA". It matches the Rfam family "Bacterial small subunit ribosomal RNA", at positions 30 to 507 of the family's 1533-position model. The record is from RNAcentral.